CUUCUCCUUCAAACUCUAAAUAUUUACCAUACUAUGGCAUUUUCCUUCUCUCCUUCUUCCAUAAAAACUGACAUUAAUCCUUCUGCACAACUUAUUAUCCACCCAAAUAUUAAUUUACCCUUACUUAUCCAACCCUAAAUCCUUCUCAACCUAUCUGGUUUACCAUUCUUUAAGACCUUACCACACCCCUUCUCUCGCUCUUCUUUCAGACCCUCACUCUUUCAAAACCUCUUACAACUAUCAGUAGCUCCUUUUCAAAUCCUUGAUCCAGAUGACAUUCCAAUUGCCAACCUUAUUCCUAGAUGGUUAAGAUUGACUCUGAAAUGCAAACCCUCAUUUGUCGCCAUUGAUAUCGAUGAUAAUACUCCUGAACACUCUUCUCCCGUCAUCCCUUCAUCUCGAACUCUACAUACUCGGAGAAGGAAACAACAGGAAGAUGCUUGUUUGGAAGAGGCACUUAGGGCAAGUAAAAAGAAAUAAGUCAUGCCUAAUGCUUCUCCUUCCCAUGUGAUUCCUCUCCUAACAUUCUCUUUCACUCCAAGAGAAAGCUGAAGAAAAAACAUACCAUACUUAAAACAUAAAAACCAUAUCUCUCUCAUAAAAUAUCCCCCCUACCACUCCCAAAGCCUUCUCAUAUUCAAAAUCCACUGUCAAAGACUCUACUGACAAAGUCUUUCCUGGAAAAGCCUCUACUCCUUCUAAAAAUUCUCCAAAAUCUGUGUCACUUCUGACGAAAUAGGUCCCCAAGCCUGGUCCUUCUGUCUCAUCUGCCUUAGAUUCAAACUAUCUUCUUGACACUUCUUCUGUGCUUCCUGAUGAUUCUAAUGUUGAUAUUAAUGUAGAUACUCCUACUGAUAAAGCUUCUCAGUCAAACUAUAUUUUAUAUUUUUAGAAAAAGAAGAUGGUUAGAGGUAGGGUUGUCACUGGUUUUAAGUGUCCUGCUAUGGUAACUUUGGUAUCCAAAUUUAGGGCUCAGGGGUGGUCAUCCUUGCUUCUGCAAAGUAAUCAUCAAAGAAGGUUUGGAAAAGAUAAAGUGUAUGAAUUUUAUACACAUGGAGUUACAAUUGGGGAGAUGAUCUCAACCUCUGUUCAUGGAAAACUCAUCAAUCUUUAUCUUGCUAAUUUAGGUAGAAUUCUAAGUGUUCCUACUAGAGGUUGGGGUCACUAUGUGAAAGGAUCUUGGCCUUCUCUUGACAAUCUUCCAUCCGUCCUUGAUAUCUGCAAAAAUUUUUUUGGAAAUCAUCUUCUUCCUUCUCAUCAUAGGGUGAUGAAAAAUGAAAUGUCAUCUCUCUAUCAGUUGUAUUUUGAUGUGAUCCACAAAAUGAUCUUACCCAGGCAGGAAAGGCGUACAGUUGCAAGCUUUCUUGAUCUUACCUUAAUGGAACUAUUGGAUUCUGAGAUUCCAAUAAACCUUCCCCAACUCAUCAUUAAGCAUAUGCAAUGGGUACUUAUCAACUAUAAGAAUGGUCAUGCUCUGCUCUAUCAGUUCUGGUUUGCCCCUGUGUUUGAUGAUUUUUGUAUCUCUGUCAAGGUGUGGUCCUUACAGAUAACUAAGGAUGUGAUUGGACAAGUGAACCAUGCUAUGUUACCUGCUACUAUGCUACAUGUAAAUAACCCUAUGCAGAAGUUGUAAAAUGCCUCAGAGGCAAAGCAGGGUAAGCUGGAGAUUGCACAAGCUGCAUUGGAGGCUGCUAAGCUAUUUAUAAAGAUGAUAAGAGGGCUCUUGAAGCUCAAAUUGCUUCACUCACAUCCAUAUUAGAGAAGGAACGAACUAAAAAUACUGCUAUCAUUCGAUCGUUGACCUCUUUCAUCCCCUCUACCUCCUCAAAAUAAACUCCUCCUUUGUCCCUUAGUUUUUUCUCUUUCUUCUUUGCUGCUUCUUGGUCCAACUUGUUUCUCUUUUUGGUCUUAGUGGAUAAUGUUAAGUGUAUCUAUUUUUGUGCAUGAAAUUGACCUCUUUUGCCUCACUUGAUCUACUUCUAUUUAAAGUGCUAGAAGCCCCAGAGGAUACCUUAUCUCUGAAGGCAUCUUACAGUGAUAAAGAAAUUGAACUUAAUAAAGAACAAGUUUCCUUUAUAUCUAAGAACUUCAGCAAAUUCUUAAAAAAGAAGAAGGGAAUAGGUAGCAAGAAAUUAUCAAAUAACAAUCUAAAUGGAUGCUACAAGUGUGGUAAGACUGAUCAUCAUAUCAAGGGUUGUCCUUUCUGGGAAAUAAAAUGGAGAAAGGAAAGGGAAGGGCUGAAAAGGAAUUGAAAGAAAAAAAACAAAAAGAGGGAAGAAUAUGCAAUGGUAGCAGCUUGUGCAUUUGACUCAUCUGAUGAUGAAGUUGAUGAAACAGUACUCAUGGCUCUUGGAUAUUCAGACUUGGAGGAAGAAGAUGAUGCUUCUAAGGUAAAUAUACUUAAAGAAAAGUUGUAUUUGUUUUCUAAAACAAAACUUAUAUCCUUGUUGAGUGCACUAAUUAAUGACUUCCAAGAAUCAACUUUUGAUAGGGAUGAGCUUUUUAACAGUCUUGCAAGAAUCAAAUUUGAUUUAUUGAUUUAGAAGCUUGCAAGAACACUGUUGAACAGGAAAACUGAUCUCUCAAGAAACAGGUUGAGUAGCUUGAUUCCUCAAAUAAUGAUCUUAUGUCUGAAGUUCUAAAACUGACACUCUCUGAAAAGGGAAAAAACACCAAGAGUAAAGAACAAGAAAAAGUUGAAGUUGAAUUGGUCAAGUACAAAGAAGAGUGUAAUAAUGCAAUAGGAAUAGUGAAUAAACUAAGUCAAGAAGUCUCUAAACUAAAACUUGACCUUGAAAGAGCAACCAAGUGAACAAAUUCCUCAAGAAUUGUUCAUAAGUUGAGUGAAAGAUAUCACAGUGAAAAAGUUGGUUUAGAUUUUCGCAAAAGUCUUGAUGCUUAUCCAGACUUGUGCUAUAUCUAUGGAAACCUUGGACAUCCAACCACUGAAUGUCCAGUUGCUGCCAAAAAAAGAUCCAGCAGUCUAAAUCUAACCAAUAAACUAUCUCAGACCAAGAAAAGGAUAACUAAACCAGGUCAGAGAAAUAGGUCACGUAACCUCUUGCCUGCAUGGGCUAGAAGAAAUCUGAUUCAUCCAUUUACUUAUAAGAAAGGACCAAAGAUUGUCUGGGUGCCUACAGUUAACCCCUAAUUUUGUUUUUCAGGUGAGAGUGAAAGGAGGAAAGAAAAAUUUGUGCAUAAAUAAAGCUUUCUCAAGGCAUAAGACUAGAAGAAAAUAAAGUUUCUUUGAAUCACCAUAUUUAAAGGGGGAAUGGAUAAUUUGAAAGAUGGCUAGAUUUUUAGUGCUCGUGUAAGGGGGAAGUAAUGGAGAUUUUAAAAAAAAAUUGAGAAAAGAGGAUGACUGUGAAACUGAUGAACAUGUACAGGAACAUGUUGUACCACCUGGUUUAACUGUUGUACAGACUGAGGGCAUAUUGACAGAGGGAACAACAAAUAAAGAAAUGGAUGCAUCAAUAAAACCAACACAAGUUGCUGGUAAUUUUAUUGGUAGUUCAUAAAAAUUGGUGUUGUCAAAGGAAUAUUGAGAUAUCUCAUAAGAAUCAAUGGCUUGAGACUAUGAUAUCCAAAGGAAAGCAAUUUCACUCCUAAGGGCUAUAAAAAUAAUUACUAUGUGGGUUACUUAAUUGAUUGGAGAAGAACCAAAGGCACUAAGUAGAGAGCAUUUUGAAAGGAAUAGGUUAGACUUGGGGAUGAUUAAAAUUGCAUGAACUCCCCUCAAUGAUUGACUAGAAUAAUCAUUUUUCUUUUUAAUCUUAUUAGCUAAAAAGUUAUUCUAUUCUGCCUUGCACAUUUAUUUGUGUGUCCCAAUUCUAAAUUUGUUACUUUUCAAACCUAAUUUUGUAUUAGAUUGUGCAAAAAAUAGGUACAAGCAAGCAAUUGUGACCACAAAUUUCUUCUUAUCAGGUAUGUUCUACACUGACAUAAGCAUUGGUUGUCUAAUUUGAAAUACUUGAUCACACAUGUUCAUUUCCAUACACUUCAUCCUCUACUUGUCUAAAAAGCUAAUGAAUUGUUGACCAAGCUUUCUUUGAUUCUCUCCAAAUGGGUAUGCAUAAAUGUGUUAAUCCUAUACCAGAAACUCCUUCUUCUUUCUUAACCAAAAUAUCAGUUGUGUACCAUGGAUUUGCCAAGAUUGAUCAUCAAUCACAUGCAACAUAUGUUUUUGAAGAAUAAAAAGGGACAUGCUUUCCCUUUUAGUUCCUAAUUGGUUAUUUUUUUUUAGGACUUCUCAGUCCUAAAUUUAGGUUUGACUUAUAAAAAAAAUAGAUGUUCUUGGAAAGAUGAAUCAUGUUGCUUUAUCUAUUUCAACAAGGAGGGCUAACACUUAUUUAAAAAAAAAUCUGAACUAGAAGCUACACAAGACAGUCAUGUAGUGGAAUAAGAGGUCCUUAAGGAUAGGAUCAUGACUUUGAAGCUUGACCUAAAUUGAUAGAGGGAUGAAAAUGUUGAAGUCAUUCAUCAAUUGACACAGUUGAUAUCACCUGUUCCACCUUCCUCAUCAUCUCCUCACUAUUUGUAUCCUUAGUCAUGUCCCACUUUUAUACCGUAUUUUUUUUAAAUGCUCAAUUGUUUUGCUUUGUUCAGUACUAUCUUAGGUUUAAUGUGGAACAUGCUUUGUCAGUUAAAUGUAAUGGUUAUCUUUACUAAAUUGACUCAUAUGUUUUCUCUCUUUAAUAUAUUACUAGGUUGGCUAAAGUCUUUGUCUGAUUGUUUUGGUGAUAGCCCCAGUGGCCAUGAGUAGCAUAACAAAUCACUUUGGCUACUAUAUUAUUACAUUGAAAUGGUUUUUCGAUAAUGCCAAAGGGAGGAACAUAAGAGGGUUGUGUAAUGUUUAUAACCCAUCUAGUGUUUUAUACUUUAGUGCCUACAGGUGGAGAUAUUUGAAUGCACAAAGACAAGAGGUUUGUCAUCAUCAAAAAGGGGGAAUUUGUUGGAACCUUAAAAUUUUGAUGAAUGACAAUAUGAAUUCAAAAAGGUGAUAUGAGUUAGUUCAAUGCAACUAGAAACUUUAACUUACUGAUCACAUGGGGAAUAGAACAAGUUGAAUUUGAUUCAAACACUUGAUGAUAAGGGAAAGCAAGUUGAGUUGAAAAAGGAGUCCUACGUAAAGAAGGAGUUUCUCUUCUGAGCAUAUCCUGAAGAGUCCUAUGUGUAGAAGAAGAAAGAUUCUGCAUAUUGAAGAUUUCUAUGCAAGAUAGGAAACAUAUAAAUUGAACGAAUCUUUGUUAGAUCAAUGAAGUUUUUGAUGACUGACACAUGAAUAGAACAUGUUACUUGUCCUGGUACAAGCAUAGGAAGGUAGGUUUCAGGUUUUACUGAUAAAUGCAAACAAAGAUUGCUAAAAGUCAGGAAUGAAUAAACAAACCUAAUUUUGAUAUACUUAAGCUACUAAUCACAUGAGAAAUUGAAGAAGUUGUGGUUGAGUAAAAUACUUGAAGAUAAGUUGAUUUAAAGAGUUGAAGUUUGACUACAACACAUCAUAAGUUGUAUGUUUAAUUUAUUACAAGGCGGACAGAACAUUAAAACAAAGCAAACUACAUCAUUCAGAAGAAGAGUUGAUCAAGGAGUUCUACGAGAAAAAGAGUUCUACUCAAUCUAGGAGAGAGAGAGACGGCAGCAACAAUAAGAGCGAAAGCAGUCCAAUUCAACAUAGGAAAGGACAUUAACUGGAGUCCAAUUCAAGAUAGGAGAGGACAUUAACUGAAGGGAGUUCAAUUCAAGAUAUGAGAGGAAAUCAACUGAAGGUCUCCAUCAGGGUUGCUUUAAAUACAAGGGAAGAGAGUCAAAGCAAGACACACACUUAAAAAGUAGAAAAGCACAAUCAACAGAUUGACUUCAUGAAGUGCUAUUCAAUCACUAAAGAAACACAUUGAAGAACUAGGCCCUAAGAUAGAAUCUAGCUAAGAGUUUUAGCUUUCAUAUUUAGAGUUGUAAAUUAUUUUUCAACUAUUGAUGUAAUAUUAGUUUUAGUGUGUUAUAAACUGAAUUAGGAGAUAGUCUUCGAGUUGGGGAAAACUCAGAGACUUUGGAAAUGCAUUCCUUGGGAGGUGUCUGUGUAGUUAGGAAUUAGUGUUUAUAAUUCCUAGUCGUUGAGUUAAAAGGAAUUAGAGUUUAUAAUUCCUAGUUGUUGAGAUAUAGGGAUCAGAGUUUAUGGUUCCUAUUUAUUGGUUACAAGAGUUUUGUAAUCAGUUGUUGUUGAGGCUUAGAGUUAUUUAGUGAAGUUGGGGUUAAAUCCUGUAGAGGUGCAGGUCGUGGUUUUUUACACCAUUUGAGCCUGGUGUUUUCCACGUAAAAAUCAUUGUGUUCUUUACUUUCUAUUUUACUUCUUCCUUGAAACACGUCAGGCAACCCGUUCCAUUGAUAAGCAACAGUUAGGAGAAAAUAAGAUAAUCAGUAGGGCACGAACUCUAAUAUUGGGCUAGCAGAAGGUCUCUCAAUCACACUUUUCUUUUGCUAUUUUCUACAGUAAGGUGAUUACCGUAGUUUACCAAUCAUUGAAAUGACCCUAAAUAGGAAUAUAUGGAGGUCAAUGAGUAAGAUAGAAAAUUAGUAGGUAGUCGCUCACUACUGUUAGUAUUGCUUGUCCUAUUCUUCAAUUUUUGUGUUACUUGUUGUUUCCUUUGCUUCAGUUAUUGUACAUUUUGUGGUUGCUUCUUCUUUUUUUUUUUCAGUUGUUUUCCGCAUGGCUUCCUUGCCACCGUAUUUUUUUUACUUUUUUGUUUUUUAAUAUGCUUCAGUUGAGACGAUGGUCUAUUGGAAUCUGUCUCUUUAUAUUCAUAAGGUUGGGUUAAUGUUACAUACAAACCACUCUCCCCAAGCCAUCUCUAAUAUCUCAGAAUGGAUGUUUAUCCCAUUCCAUAGCAUUACUAAUUGGAUCAUAUAUAACAGCUUCAAUAUUCUUGUAUUCAUUCUUGUGUAUCAUAAGAGUACUUCCCAACCCUUUCUUGCAAGAGAGGCCCUGAUUUGGUUCUCCUUGUUUUGGCAAUCAGUUAAGUGAGAAUUGCUUCUUUCAUACUUUCUUCACCUGAAACAGAACGAUUACAGAAAGUCCCAAACCCUUUUAUUCCAACAGUCACUUUUCACGCUCUCCGUCUCUCCUCUUUCAGGAGACUCCGGUCUUCCAGUAGAUUUUUUGGGAUUAUAUAAGUAGAGAAAAAGCAGUAAUAUGUACCUUUCUAGUUAAGCUAGUCAAGAUCAACAAUUAAUUAACUCUCUUCCUCCCCUCUCGAAUAAUACAUCAACCAUCAAAACAUCAUUCAACCUCGUUACAUAAGCUUAUACAUAACCAAACUCAUAAAUUGUUGGAGCCACUUCAGCUACAAGAACUAGGAUUUUUAACGACCAAUAUUAAUGAAGGUACAUGAAUCCAGUCCUUAUAAAUAUACUUAUGGCAACCAAAAAAAUUCAUUUCUGAAAAGCCAAUAUUUAAUUCAACACUAACGAUGGUAUAAACUUUCCUUAAAACACAUAUUAUCCGGUCACAAAAACCAAAUUAUGAAUAAAAAAGAGGCGCUUCUUUUUUCCCAAUCCACCCUCCGCCCACCCCCUCACCUUUAGUUAAGAAAAUUCUCACAAAGUAAAUUUUUGUGGAGCUAAAAGGGCUGCUCGCCUCCAUUUGGUACUUUUGUAUAACCCUUGUACCAUCGUAGAUCCUAUCGGAACUCCCCUGAUCAUAUACAAGACCACACCCACCAAAUUGAGGCCAACAACCGCUAAAAUGAGGGUCGAGAUAGAUCCAACAAAGCCGUUGUUAAAUGAGAGCUCCGUGGUAAUAAGUAAUGCCCUCUUUCUGCUUGAAUUGCAAAGUACAGGGACACUCUGAGGAUAAGUGCAGGGACGCUCCGUUUAGCAUACUUGGGAACAUUCUACUAAACGGAGAAGUACAAAAAAUGAUUGGCGAGAUACAAAAAAGUGACAACAACAGGAGUGUCCCCCAAGAACACAUAGAGGGAACUACCUGAUAUGAAAAAAUGCAGAGUAUAGCAACAUUACAACGAAGAAAAUUGUCUUCUCAACUGCCCCGUAAAACAAAACAUCAAAUUUAUCAACAACUUGUCUCCAAGAAACUACCAGAACACAGCAGCAAAGAUUUGCAUAAGUUGAUUAGUUUACUUGAUAUGCUUUACUUGAGCCGAUGGUCUAUCGGAAACAAUCUCUUUACCUUCAUAAGGCUGGGGUAAGGUUGCGGACAAAUCACCCUCCCCAAACCUCACUUACGAGAUUACUCUGGAUAUAUGUUAUUGUUGUAGUUUUCCCUGCUACUUAAUUUUUCCUAAAAACUUGGUCAACUAUCUGAACUUCACUCGAUCUCAGUACUUAAACUUAUACAUAACCAAACACUGAUGUAUAUUAUAACUACUUAGUAGAAUUGCACUGAACUUAAGAAAUACUAAUAGAAUAUAGUGCAACAGUUAACUAGGAAUUAAGGGAACAGUAGAAGGAAAUCAAUAAAAUGACGUCUUGUGUUUAUUGGCUGGGCGUAAACAUUCGGACAGCACUAUUUAAAAACUAAAUCAAGUUGCAUAAGAUUUUAGAUUAAAGGGUAUAAAAGUUGGUUAACAUUUCAGGAUAUUUCUUCAUUAGCAUAUUCUAUAGCUGGAAGUUUUGAAAACCAAAAUUGUAUUUUUGACUAAAUAGGAUAAUUAUAGUCAAAACAGUAUCGUAAAAGGUUUUAGAAUUUCUAUUUAAAGUAAAUUUUGCACUAUUAUAAAUAGAGUUGCUACGGCUAUUUGGACAAGUACAGCGUACUGAUCAUAGACACGCUAAUUAAACAGUAACAAAUAGUUCAAGACAACAGAUUCAUCUAGCAACACUAUGAUACUCACUAAAAUUUAUCAUUUCUAGCAGACACAAGAUGAAGCAAUGGGAUUUCUACCACUACACCAUGGAUAUCCCCCCAACUUGAUUCAAGUAGUUCCGUCUCACUUCUCGAGUCUCCGGCUCCAUUUGCAAUAGUUCUCAUCUAAUGUAGUAAUUCUUAUAACAUACGAUGAUGAUGACAUAAUUGUUAUGUGGAACCCGAACACUGGGGAAGAAGAAGAAUCCCUUGUCCAAUUCGGAGUACCGACCGGAUGUUGUUCAUGAUCUUUAUAAUUUUUGCUAGUUUCCUUGUAUUGACAGCUACAAAAUAUUUGGAAUAGGACCUAGAGUUGUUGAUGGUGACAUGGAGAUUGAUAUAUUUUCAAUGAAAGGUAAGAAUUAGAAAUCAAUUGGCCCGUUUCCUCCAAAUUAUUAUUUCAUCAAUGGGAGCGUUGUUAUGGUGGAUAGGAUGGUUUAUACGAGUGCGAGGAGGGCAAAUUUACUUAAUGUGAUAGCUUUAUUACUAUAGUAUGUUUUUUUUUGGAGAAGGAACAAUUUCAGGAGGAAUUGUCGUUUCCGUGUCAAAUGAAAUAUAGGACUAAUCCUGUUUUGUAUGCUCUAGGAGAAAAACUUUGCUUGAGGACAAUUAAAGAUCAUCGUAAGGGUCUUGAAUUUUGGUUUUAUAGUAUGACAACAAAUUCAUGGAGUAAGAGGUUGAAUUGGAACAUAUGUUAUGAUAGGAGAAGAGCAUACAAUAUAAGAAAAAUGGAACACAGAACAAGAAGAUAUGCUUCAAAUCAAACAAAGGGAGCUUAAAGGAACACAUAAGAAUUUGAUUAACCACACCAAACUUAUCAAUUAAACUAAAGAAAUACAUACAUUUGCAAUGCCGAGGACUGCGCUUUGUUAUGCUGGCUAAACUGUGUAAGUUGACUUUGAUAGGGUAAUUAUCAUGAGGUAAGUGAUCAAUAGUGGAAAAGAUCAGGUAGAGUAUAUAAUGUCAAAAUCAAGAUCCUAGACAUAAUUGAUAAUUGCUUAGAUUUCAAAGACGAAGUAGACUAAUUUAAAGAUGUUUAUUUCAAGAGUGUUAAUCGUUGAUCCUAAUUCAUAUGCCAGUUUCUGAAUUCAAGAGUUAACCGAGGAUUUUUUACCACGAUUUUUUUAUAUGCCUUAUAAAUAUUUUUAAUUGUUAACUACUUUUUGUAUAAUUUAUAAAUAUAUAAAUUUUAUUUUGAAAUACUCAAAGUAUGUUCGAUAUUUAGGCUUAAAAUUUAAUAGUUUGAAUGACCAAGUACGAACUACAUCACAUAAAUUGAGACAAAGAAUAUGUUUUGUUAAUAUGUUAAUGAGGAUUAAAAGGUGAACAAAUUACCUAUUCCAAUGAUAGAAAAUAAGUUGCAAAGCUGAGAGCUGCAGUAGACAUAAAUAAAUGAAACCUCCGUGUUGUUACAAAAUACAAAUUAAUUAUUGUCAAAUAAGUAUAAACAACUGUAUGGAAAGCCACGAUGUGUGUAGCAAAAUAUUUUCAAAUUAUCUUCUAACAUGCGUUAAUUAUUCCACAAUGAUCACUUUUCCUAAUCAUGUUUAUACAAUUAAUUAUUUAGCACAUCCUAACACAAGGUCAAUAUUAAAAUGUUCUGAUUAGUUGAUAGGAUAAGAAGACAACGAAGAUGAUAACAACACAAAAACAAAGGAAAACGAAUAUAAACAAGUAAAUGAUAAAUGGAAAGAUAGACAAAUAUAUUGACACAAAGAGAUAAAGAGAGGACAACCAAAUGGUAUAUCAAAUCCUAAGACCUUCCUAUCAAUUACUAUAAACACCAAUGUCUUACGAGGAUCUCACGGGAAUGGAAUCCCAUGCAACCCACGUUUCUUCACAAUUCAUAAAGCUUCCAACAAGCUUCAAUAAAACAAUCUAAAGUGUAUACAUUCAUUCAAAUUCAACCAUCUCUAAAAUGAAAGUCCUAGCUAUUUAUAGGCCAAAUGCCACUUAUUACAACUUGGGCUCUAAAGUGACCCUAAAUGUUAAUUGGGCCGAAAAAUACCCAGAAGCCUAAUACUCAUGCUAUGGGUCCAAUUAAAAAUUAAAAUCAAUCUUUGGUAUCAGAGUCGGACUUGAUUUCAUUCCUACAAAGACAAUCUUGGGUCUCGUUGUCUUGAAAAAAUAAAAAAUCACAAAAAUAUUCACUAUUCAUGUUUUUGGAUUUAGGUCAAAUUUCUAGUCUUUGAUUUUGUUGAUUUUGUUGUUUUUUAGUGUUACAUCCUUAUUUCCUAAUAUUAGUAGAGUCUAAAUAUUGAAUUUGAGCUUCAUCGGAGCUAUAUUGAAGAUUCUACCAUUGUUGGAAGCUUGAAUUCGAAGAAAUUGAAAAUGGGUUUUGAAAUCUGAAAAUUUUGAUGAGGAAUUUGAGUAUAAUGAUGCUUGGAAUGCGAUUAGAAGGUGAAGAGCCUAGGUUCAAAAUUUCAUCGCAUUCCGAUGAAGGGUUGAAGAGUUGGAAAUUUUUUGAGUUCUUGGUGUUCUUGAGUAAGAUUCAAAUCUUCAUUUUGAAUUUUCUUCAAAAGGUGGUGUUUGAUCCUCAAAGGAUCAAAAGUGAUGAAAAAAGUGUGAAAAAAUAUUGGUACAAAAUACUUUUUGAAGAUCCUAAAGAAUAUUCCUAAAGAGAGGACAAAAGUACAACUUUGAAGCUGUUGGGCAGGUGACUUGCGUUUGGAUUGUGUUGGGUCUGUCGCUGACCUGCUGCAGCACCCCGAACACAGGUCAAACCAGUAGAGCAGUCCCCUCCUGCGUCCAACCUUCCCUCAACCUGCGCCCCAUCUGCUUCCACAUCUCAAGGCAGCCCACUUUGUCCUUUGGCUUGCGUUCAAGGUGUGCCAAGGCUGCCAACACACUUCCAACGCACCUCCACCUUGUUCCAAUGCAUUUCAACUAUCAAAACACUUCAUUUUCUCAGGUUCAAUUCAUUAAAUUCAUCUCUUAAAUCCUCCUUUCAUCACUUUGAUUCUUAACACUAAUUAAAAACUAACACUAAAACUAGUUAGUUGUUUAUUUAGUUCUCGUCUGUUCGUCUUUCGUAUCCUAAUUCCUUGUUUCUUUUCUUUCAUUUGUCUUUUGUUUUUCUUAGUUUAACAUUUGAAUUCAAGUCUUUACUUCUUAAUUGAGUCAAUUUUUUUUGCUUUUAAAUGAGUCAUCCAUAGUUGCUUCAUCUUCUUUCUACCAUAUACUGAGCCAUGGGUGGAGCAAUCCUUGAUACUCUUAUGGAAGCUCUCAUGGGAAUGUAACAAACUGUGGAUAAAAUAAACGGAACCAUGACACGUAUUGAAGAUAAGUGGCCGAGCAUGGAUAACCGACUCAUUAACCUAACAACUGCCACUACACCGGGGUUCAUCCAUCAAAAUUUGCCCCAAGACCUCAAGAACAUGUUUCCUCAACCCAAACAAAUACAAACUAAGCUCCACAAAAUAUUGUGCGACCACUCAAAAUACCCUUAUGCAAAGACCCUCUCCUUCUUAGGUCCACUAACUACGAUACUAGCAUUUUGUCUAGUGUCACUCCUUUCUUUGUGCAGGUUCAUGAACAAACAACUUCAAAGAAAGAUGGAAGGAAAGUGCCUAAUGAAAGUGAGAUUGAAGGAGUAAUGGAGUUCUUACCAAAGGAUUUCAAGCUUGGAAAGUAUGACGACAAGUCAAUAAAAAAGUUGGAUUCGGGGACUAAUUCUUUUCAAGAAGGGAGGAUGAUACAAGUCGAACUGACUCCACUCUUUUGUUGGGAGCUUAUCGAUUAGUUGAGAAACAUAGGUUGCGAGUGAAUUAGCUUCACAAGGGAUCUUCGUAAGAGAAUUAGUGCUUUUAGUUGGCUUACAUUUGAGGGCCUCAAUUUAGUAUAUUGUGGUUUGCUUAUGUUCCUUCUCUUGUGUCAUUCUAUCUAUAUUUUACUUUUAUUAUUUUCAUUUCCUUGUUUUGUGUUUUGUAUUUAGUGUUUUCCUUAAUUUUCAUGUUGUUUCUAUUUUCGUUUUUUGGUUCUUAUCAUUAGUGGAUUGUUGAAAAUAAAAAGGCAUUUCACAUUACUAGAAAGUGAGGAUCUGACGACAUUUAUUUAAUAAGAUUUAAAAUAAAUAUUGAGAAAUAAAGAGUUUUUCAACAUUUGAUACAAAAUGUCAAAAAAUCAACACAUUUGAUAUGAAAUUUAACAAAACAAUGACAUUUUAUACUAAAUGACAAAAAAAUGAUAUUUAUACUGAAUGUGACAAAAAUAAUAGCAUUUUAUACUAAAUGUCGUAAAACCAAUGGAAUUCUAUACUAAAUGUCGUAAAACAACAUUAUUUGAGGCAUAAUAUCAAUUUUUUUUAUAUUUUGUAUUUAAUAAUAUUAGUUUAUUACUCGAUAUAUCGGUAUUUGCAAUGAUGGUUUAUCACUAUCCAAUUUCUCGAGUCAUGAUAGCAUCUACUAUAAUCCACCAGUAGGUAAGCCAAACUAUAUCUCGAAACAAAAAAGAAACGGAUUAACCGGCGGAAGAUAUGAAAAUAAAAACUAAAGGCAUUCAAACAAGUUUUUAUAGGCAUUCAAACAAAACACGAAGUAACUAAAAGAAAAGGUAAAUAGAUACAAACGUAUUAUACAAUAGAUGGAGGAGAACAAAAUACAAAAAAUGAGAUCCCCAUGACCAGGUAAGAUCGGCAUAAUAGCCACUAAAUCAAAAUAGAGUAGUAGACAGAGUCAAAUAUACAUCUUAUUCUUAGAAUGUACAAAAAGACAUCCAAAAAUAGUAGAAGAAGGGGGAUCAACAGCGAACUGGAAAAGCUCACCCUAUCUUCGAAUUAGCAGCAAGCCCGAGGAUAACACUAGAGGCAAUGAUUUGUAUUCGGAUCUGUAUGAGAAAAAAGAUUCAAAAGUGUAGCAUGAGUACCAAACUACGGGUAAUCAGAAGGCAUCAUAGGCCAACUGAGCUAAAUCACAGAAAAAGUAAAAUAAAUUACAAGAAUGUAAACUAAAUUCAGGAAUAAAGGAUAUAAACGGAAGAUAAUGGAUCAUACUGAAUGGAUGUGAUACAUAUGAGAAAAAUAACUCAAGAAUGAACAUAAAGUCUAACUAUAACCUAAGUAGCCCCCAUAAGCUCAAAAGACACAAAAAAGGAGAAUAACACAAUCAAACACCCAUAAGUCCGGUGGGUACAAGAAAAUAGUAACACUAAUAUGACGAUAAAAUAACAACAAUAGUAAGUGUAAUGCGAGCCAAUACAUAGUAAGCAUUCUUGAUGCUCCUUCCCGGUCAUAACUCAACUUUGUGACCUUACCGGGUUUACAAUGCCAAAUCAGUACCAAAAUUGAUCAUAACUGAUGAACGCAAAUCGAAACUAGGGAACAAUAUCUUAAUAGUAAAAUGUUGUGUAUAGAUCAUCAAUACCAAACUUGAACUGAAGCUAGAGAAUAAUACCAUAAUAGCAAAAUGUCAAGAUCGAACUGCACUCUGACAAGUAACAAGAUAACUGCAAGGUGCUUGACUGAAAUAGAAACUAAUAAUUAAGCUAAAUGUAAUAAUGAUCUAAGAUUAUAAUUUCUCUUGAACCCAAGUAGUCAUAAAUUCCCAGGUAAGGCGGUCAAGUCUAUAAGCGAUACAAGAUUUUAGUCACUAAGCAAAGUGAUAUGGUUUAAAGUCAAAUACUACCCCAACUGGGGUCACAAGGCUAGUUAAAGUCACUAAGCAAAGUGAUAUGGUUUAAAGUCAAAUACUACCCCAACUGGGGUCACAAGGCUAGUUAAGGCUCAACAAACUAACUAUAGGGUUUAAAGUCAAAUACUACCCCAACCGGGGUCACAAGGCUAGUUAAGGCUUAACAAACUGAUUAAGUCAUCCUAAAUUUCACGAAUCAGUCAAGGUAUCAAAAAGAGGUAAUUUGUGUCAACAAAAGGCUAUUCUAAACAUUCUAUUAAAAACAAGGGUUAGGUGGAUGCACUGCCAGUCCCGAAAAAAAGCCUAAGGCAAACUCCUUUCCAAUUCUAGUCUAAGAAUUUUCAAUCCCAUCCCAAGGAACUAAGCGUACUAAGACUAGUGUUGUUGUAAGUAAAAUAGGUGUCUCAUGAAUUCCUCUUGUCAGGAUCGUGACUAUUUCUGAGAAUCAGUUCAGAUUCAUGCCAGGUAGCUCGCCUACUGAGGCUAUUCAUAUCGUGUGUGGAUUAGCGGAGCAGUAUAGAAAGAGGAAUAAGGGCCUUCACAUAGUGUUCAUCAAUCUAGAAAAGGCUUACAUCAAAAUUCCCAGAGGUUCUUUAAAGGUACUUGAAGUCUAGAUGUGUUCCUGUGGCGUAUACUAGGUCGAUUAACAAUAUGUAUGAUGGAUCAAAGACUCGAGUGAGAAUGAUGGGUGGAGAUUCAGAGAACUUUCUUUUCUUGAUAGGGUUGCACCAGGGAUCAACUCUUAGUUCAUUUUUGUUCUCCUUAGGAAUGGAUGUAUUGAUUUUUAUUCAUGGGAGCUACCUUGAUGUUUGUUAUUUAAAGAUGAUUUAGUUCUAAAAGACGAGACUCGGGGAGGUUUUAAUGGUAAGUUGGAGAUUUGGAGACAAACCCUAUAGUCUAAAAUGUUUAGGUUGAGCAGUACCAAUACACAAUACCUGAAGUGCAAGUUCAGUUAGUUGACGCAUGAGAUGGGUGUGGUAAUGAAGUUAAAUUCCCAAUCUAUUCGAAAGAAAGAUAGGGUCAAGUAUCUUAGGUGUAUGAUCCAAGAAAAUGAAGAGAUUGAUGAGAAUGUCACAUACCGUAUUGACAUCGGGUGGAUAGAAUGAAGGCUCAUUUCUGGAAUCUUGUGUGAUAAAAAGGUGCACCCUAAAUUAAAAGACAAGUUCUACAAAAUUAUAGUCCGAACAGUUAUGUUUUCUGGAGCGAAGUGUUGGCUUUGUAUGUAGUGUGAAUGAAAAAUGAAUGUGUAUUUUUUUUGGAAAGACACCAAGAGAAAGGAUGCAAUUUGAAUAGACACCUUUCACUUUGGAUGGUUAUAGACUUUCUAAUGGGUUGUGACUUUUUUUAGAGUUACACCUUUUCCUAAGAGUUGCACCUUUAUGAAGAGGUGCACCUUUCUAAAUCAUUGAUUCUCUUCAUGAAGCAACACUUUGAUGGCUAUAAAUACGUGAAUUUUUUCUCAGGUAAAGACACAAUUUUUAAUUAAAAAAUAAUAUUCUUCUUCUAAAAACUCUCAUGUGAUCAUAAAAUCAAUGAAUGUGUUCGGAGUUUCUGAAAAUUUGAGGUACCGCUAUUUCUAGAAAAAGAAUUAUUUUAUACUGGGAAGAAAGAUUCCAUAACCUCGGGUACUUGAAAGGAAUAAAUUUCUUAAGGACAUAUCGUGCAUUCGGUGGACUUCUUUGUGCAGGUUCAUGAACUAGCAACUUCAAAGAAAGAUGGAAGGAAAGUGCCUAAUGAAAAUGAGCUUGAAGGAGUAAUGGAGUCCAAAGGAUUUCAAGCUUGGAAAGUAUGACGACAAGUCGAUAAAAGAGUUUGAUGCGGGGACUAAUUCUUUUCAAGAAGGGAGGAUGAUAAAAGUCCAACUGACUCCAGUCUUUCGUUGGGAGCUUAUAGAUUAGUUGAGAAACAUAGGUUGCGAGUGAUUUAGCUUCACUCGGGAUCUUCGUAUGAGAAUUAGUGCUUGUAGUUGGAUUACAUUUGAGGGCCUAAAUUUAUUAUAUUGUGGUUUGCUUAUGUUCCUUCUCUUGUGUCAUUCUAUCUAUACUUUUUAUUAUUUUCAUUUCCUUUAUUUCCUUGUUUUGUGUUUUGUAUUUAGUGUUUUCCUUUAUUUCCGUGUUGUUUCUAUUUUCGUAUUUUGGUUCAUAUCAUUAGUGGAUUGUUGAAAAUAAAAAGGCAUUUCACAUUACUAGAAAGUGAGGAUCUAACGACAUUCAUUUAGUAACAUUUAAAACAAAUAUUAAGAAAUAAAGAGUUUAUCGACAUUUGAUACAAAAUGUCAAAAAAAAAAAAAAAACAUUGGAUACAAAAUUUAACAAAACAAUGACAUUUUAUACUAAAUGACAAAAAAAUGAUAAUUAUACUGAAUGUGACAAAAAUAAUAUAAUUUUAUACUAAAUGUGGUAAAAACAAUGGCAUUCUGUACUAAAUUUCGUAAAACAACAUUAUUUGAUGCAUAAUAUCAGAUUUUUUUAUAUUUUGUAUUAAAUAUCAGUUUAUUACUCGAUAUAUAGAUAUUUGCAAUGAUCGUUUAUCACUGUCUAAUUUAUCGAGUCAUGAUAGCAUCUACUAUAAUCCACAAGUAGGUAAGCCAAACUAUAUCUCGAAACAAAAAAGUAAGGGAUUAACCGGCGGAAGACAUGAAAUUAAAAAGUAAAGGCAUUCCAACAAGUUUUUAUAGGCAUUCAAACAAAACACGAGGUAACUAAAAGAAGUGGUAAAUAGAUACAAACAUAUUAUACAAUAGAGGGAGGAGGACAAAAUACAAAAGAUGAGAUCCCGAUGACCUGGUAAGAUCGGCAUAAUAGCCACUAAAUCAAAAUCGAGUACUAGACAGAGUCAAAUAUACAUCAUAUUCUUAGAAUGUACAAAAAGACAUCCAAAAAUAGCAGAAGAAGGGGGAUCAACUGUGAACUGGAAAAGCUCACCCCGUCUUCGAAUUAGAAGCAAGCCCGAGGAUAACGCUAGACGUAGUGAUUUGUAUUCGGAUCUGUAUCGGGAAAAAGAUUCAGAAGUGUAGCAUGAGUAUCAAAACUACGGGUACUUAGAAGGCAUCAUAGGACGACUGAGCUAAAUCACAGUAAAAGUAUAAUAAAUUACAAGAAUGUAAACUAAAUUCAGGAAUAAAGGAUAUAAACGGAAGAUAAUGCAUCAUACUGAAUGGAUGUGAUACAUAUGAGACAAAUAACUCAAGGAUGAAAAUAAAGUCUAACUAUAACCUAAGUAGGUCGCCAUAAGCUCAAAAGACACACAAAAAAAGAGAAUAACCCAAUCAAACAUCCAUAAGUCCGGUGGGUACAAGAAAAUAGUAACACUAAUAUGACGAUAAAAUAACAACAAUAGUAAGUGUAGUGCGAUCCAAUACAUAGUAAACAUUCUUGAUGCUCCUUCUAAGUCAUAACUCAAGUCUGUGCCCUUACCGGGUUUCCAAUGCCAAAUCGGUACCCAAAUUGAUCAUAAAUGAUGAACGCAAAUCAAAACUAGGGAAAAAUAUCUUAAUAGUAAAAUGUUGUGUAUAGAUCAUCAAUACCAAACUUGAACCGAAGCUAGAGAACAAUACCAUAGUAGCAAAAUGUCAAGAUCGAACUGCAAUCUGACAAGUUACAAGAUAACUGCAAGGUGCUUGACUGAAAUUGAAAUUGAUAAUUAAGCUAAAUGUAAUAAUGAUCUAAGAUUAUUAUUUCUCUUGAACCCAAGUAGUCAUAAAUUCCCAGGUAAGGCGGUCAAGUUUAUAAGCGAUACAAGAUUUUAGUCACUAAGCCAAGUGAUAUGGUUUAAAGUCAAAUACUACCCCAACUGGUCAUGUAAUGCCCCGGAAAAAGGGUCCCGAAGCGUUACACGGUGCUUGAGGCUAUGAGUAGCCCCAAGCUAACCCUUUGAGCCAUUUUCAUUCAAUUCAACACAAAUCAACGGGGUUUCCAUAAAUAACCCUCAAAUAUCAACAGAGUAAUCAUCAUCCAAGAAUAAAAGAAUUUCAGAAAGAUAACAAAAUAUGACUUAUUAGUCAACUCCCAACAUCUAUACUAGUCUGACAAGCCUCUAAGAAAAUCAAUAAAACUAGCGAGCCAUUGAGACAUGCCCCAACUGACUCAUACUCCGUUAUCAAAUAUAAACAAUUCCGUGAAACCAGCAUCAGACAUCAUGUUCUCGGGGUAUUACAACAUCCCCCUUGGAAACAUUUGUCCUCGAAUGACGCUAGACAUGCCAAGAUAAGAUAGGGAAUAGAGCAUACAGAUGAAACCAUUCGUUAGACUCAUCACCACAUCGUUUCUCACUCCGAAUGCAACAUAGAAUGCAUAAAUUCAAGAAACUACAGCUGAACACAUAAUAAAUGGUAGCUGAACUACUGCAAUUUUUAUCAAAAGUGCACGAUUUAGGAAAGAACGGUACCUUCAGCUUGAUCGGAGUUCGCGGAAAAUAGGUGCGGGUACUUGUGUCGCAUAUCCACCUCAGCUUCCCAAGUUGCACCCUCAAUAGAUUGGUUUCACCACAACACCUUGACCAAGGGAACUUCUUUGUUCCUUAGUCUUCGGACACAGAAAUCAAGAAUCUCAACAAGAAUCUCAUCAAAAGAAAGAUUUUCUUGAAUAUCAGCACUCACAGAGGAAUCCACUACCACAGCAUCGCUAAUAUCCUUUCUAAGCAUGAAGACAUGUAAUAUUAGAUGAACAGAGGACAACUUGAAAGGCAACUCGACUUCAUAAGCUACCUUACCAAGACGGCUAAGAAUUUUAUAAGGACCAACAUAAUGGCGACUAAGCUUCCCCUUCUUCCGAAUCUCUUCACCCCCCUCAUGGGUGAAAUUUUUAGAUACACUAGGUCACCAACUACAAACUCAAGGUCUCUCCUUCUAACAUCCACAUAUGACUUCUGACGACUCUGCACAGUUUUCAACCUUUUCUUAAUCAACUUAACUCCAUAGCCUCAAAUACCAAAUCAGGACCACUCGCAGUCACCUCACCCACCUCGAACCAACCUAUGGGUGAUCUACACUUCCUCCCAUAUAAGGCUUCAAAUGGAGCCAUGCCAAUACUAGAGUGGAAACUGUUAUUGUAAGCAAACUCUAUCAACGGUAAGUGAUCAUCCCAACUUCCCUUAAAGUCAAGUGCACAAGCUCAUAUCCUCUAAGGUCUGGAUGGUCCGCUUAACCUGACCAUCGGUCUGCAGAUGAAAAGUAGAACUCAAAAGCACUUGGGUACCAAGACCCUUCUAAAAAGCUCUCCAAAAUUGUGAAGUGAACUGAGUACCCCUAUCCGAAAUGAUAGACAAUGGAACUCCAUGCAGUCUAACUAGCUCUCGGACAUACAAUCUAGCGUAAUCCUCAGCAGUAUAUGAAGUAUGAACAGGCAAGAAAUGAGCAGACUUAGUCAACCUAUCAACCACAACCCAAAUGGAAUCAUGAUGGCGUCGGUAAGGAGGUAAACCAAUCACGAAGUCCAUAUUUAUCUCUUCCCACUUCCAGGUGGGAAUACUAAACUCUUGUAUUAUACUACCAGGUCUUUGGAGUUCAACUUUAACCUAUUGGCAUAUUGCACACUUAGCUACAAAAGCUGCUAUAUCUUGGUACAUCUUGGUGGCACCAGGAUGAAUAGAAUAUCGCGCCCCAUACGUUUCAGCCAUAAUCCUCUAUCUCAAAUCAUCAACAUUCGGGACACACAAUCUACCCUGCAAUCUCAACACACCAUCUCCCCCUUGGGAGAAAACCUCUACUUUUUGGUCCUUGACUUACUUCUUCAGUCUGACCAAACUAGCGUCUAAGUAUUGCUUUUCCUACACUUCCGAAACCAAGGAGGUUUUGGAACUACUCUGAAUCCCUAUACUACCUUCAGCAGAGUCAAACAACCUAACCCUCAAUCUAGCCAAACGAUGUACAUCACGAGCCAACUCUUUUUUACCUUCUACCACAUGCGAAACACUACCCAUGGACACUCUACUUAGGGCAUCUGCCAUAACAUUGGCCUCGCUCGGAUGGUACAGAACACUCAUAUCAUAGUCUUAAACAAUUCUAACCAUUGUCUCUGCUUAAGAUUCAAUUCUCUCUAGGUAAACACAUACUGUAGACUCUUAUGAUUAGUGAAAAUAUCAAAACAGACACCAUACAAAUAGUGUCUCCAGAUUUUCAAAGCAAACACAACAGCAGCCAACUCAAGGUCAAGGGGUGGGUAAUUUUUCUCAUGGGGUUUCAACUGUCUAGAAGCACAAGCUAUUACUUUACCCUUCUGCAUCAAUACGCAACCCAACCCAACUCUCAAAGCAUCAUAGUACACCACAAAACCAUCAAUACCAUCAGGCAAAGUCAAAACAGGGACUGAAGUGAGUCGAGUCUUCAAUUCCUGAAAACUCUUCUUACAAGAUUCGAACCACAAGAACUUCACUUUCUUUUGGGUCAACCGAGUCAUAGGAGACGCUAUAGAGGAGAAACCCUCAACAAAACGGCAAUAAUAGCUAGCUAAACCCAAGAAACUUUGGAUAUUAGUCGGAUAAAUAGGUCUAGGCCAAUUUAUAACAGCUUUGGUCUUUUGGGGAUCAACUCUAAUACCCUCGAAAGAAAUGAUAUAACCUAGAAAAGCAACUGACCUUAGCCAAUACUCACACUUACUAAACUUGGCAAACAACUUGUAAUUUCUAAGGGUUUGCAAGAUAGUUCGGAGAUGAUCAGAAUAUUCAUCCUCACUACGGGAGUACACCAGUAUAUCAUCGAUGAACACUAUGACAAACAUAUCCAGAUAUGAUCUGAACACUCNNNNNNNNNNNNNNNNNNNNNNNNNNNNNNNNNNNNNNNNNNNNNNNNNNNNNNNNNNNNNNNNNNNNNNNNNNNNNNNNNNNNNNNNNNNNNNNNNNNNNNNNNNNNNNNNNNNNNNNNNNNNNNNNNNNNNNNNNNNNNNNNNNNNNNNNNNNNNNNNNNNNNNNNNNNNNNNNNNNNNNNNNNNNNNNNNNNNNNNNNNNNNNNNNNNNNNNNNNNNNNNNNNNNNNNNNNNNNNNNNNNNNNNNNNNNNNNNNNNNNNNNNNNNNNNNNNNNNNNNNNNNNNNNNNNNNNNNNNNNNNNNNNNNNNNNNNNNNNNNNNNNAGAAACACUGGGCCUUAUGAAACCCUUAUCUAGUAGAUCUUUGAGUUUCUCUUUCAACUCCUUAAGUUCUGCAGGGGCCAUAUGGUAAGGAGGAAUAGAAAUAGGCUGAGUAUCGGAAAGAAGAUAAAUCUCAAACUCUAUCUCUCUAUCAGGAGGUAUCCUUGGGAGAUCAUUCAAAAAGAUAUCAGAAAACUCAUUAACAAUGUUAACAACUGGAGAGUUGGAGUCUCAGACUUAGUGUCUUUGAAUCUAACCAAAUGGUAAAUACACCUCUUGGAAAUAAGCUUUCUAGAUUUGAGGUAAGAGAUAAAAUAACUCUAGGGUGACACAGAAUUCCCAGACCACUCAAACACGGAUGCACCCGAAAACUGAAACUUGACCACUCGGGUCCGAUAAUCAAUAGAGGCAUAAGAAGAAUACAGCCAGUCCAUACCCAGAAUCAUAUCAAAAUCUACCAUGUCUAACUCAAUCAGAUCAACCAACAAGAAUCUAUGAAGAACGGUAACAGGACACUUUUUAUACACAUUCUAGGCAACAAUCGAAUCACCCACUGGGGUAGAAACUAGGAUAGGAUCAGGAAUAGUCUUAGGACUCAUUUCAAAAUUCACAGCAAUCAAAGGUGUAACAUAUGAGAAACUGGAUCCAUGAUCAAAAAAGCAUACACAUCAAACUAAAAUAUACGAAGCAUACCAGUAACAACAUCAGGAGAGUUCGUUUGUUCCUGGUGGGAUGGUAAAGCAUAGAAUCUAUUCUGGCGUUUCCCACCAGCAUUGCUAGAAGAGGUGCCUUGAGCUGGGGCUAGGUGAGUCGCUGGAACUGGAGCACUAACAGUCUGAGUCUGGGUCUGAGGGCGAUAGUCAGGACACCCUUGUCCAUCCUGUGGACAAUCUCUAACUUGUGACCUAUGUCACCACACCAAAAAUAACCCCUCUUCUCACCCCAACACUCACUCGAAUGAGCCCUACCACACUUAGGACACAGGAGACGAUUUGGCUUACUACCACCACUUUACUAGGACCUGGAUGCAUAUGACUUGGUACCUUGCUCCUACCAACCUCUAGGCAUGGGAGCACUACUAGACGAAGGUUCUAGCAUAGACAAAUGAUCCUGAUACUGAGGGCAACUCCCUCCGUACAAUCUAGUCUGUCCCUGUUCGUGCUUCUUGGACCAAGCUCUUUUAUUCUCUCUUAUUCUAUCUCUCUCCUUAAUCUUGUCUGCCUUAAUCUGUUGGGCAUGAGUCAUCAGCCUAGAAAGUUUUAUCUCACUAUUCAGCAUAGCAGACCUACACUUCUUAACCAUAUAAUUAGACACUCCAGUCAUAAACUUACUCAUACUAGCCCGAUUAUCAGCCACUAAGUCAGGAGCAUACUUUCCAAACUGAUUGAACUUUAGACAGUACUCCCUAACAGUUAUAGAGCCCUAUCGCAUGUUGAUAAAAUCUUCAACCUUCGCAUUCCUCAUCUCCAAAGGGAAAAACUUAUCCAGGAAUGCAUCCUGGAACUCUUGUCAAGUUUUAGGGAUAGCUCCCUCACCUCUACCUUUCCUCCAAGCAACAACCCAGUCAUAAGCAAGGUCUUUCAACCUAUACACAACCAACUCCACAGUAUGUUCCUCAAAUACAUGCAUCACCUGAGUAAUCUUUCGUACCUCCUCUAAAAACAACCGUGGAUCCUCAUCAGACUUGGACCAAUAGAAUUCUAACGGAUUUAUCCACAUGAAGUCAUGGAUCCUGGCAGCAGUUGAAUUACCUCCUUGCUGCUAUGGAGCUGGGGUCGGGUUGGCCUGAAUAUUUGCAGUAACAACUUGGGCCAGCGCCUGUAAGGAUGCCCGAAAUUCAGCAUGAGACAUGUUUUCAUUCAAUGGGUCAGCGGGUUGAGGUUGCUGACCAUUAUAAUUUCUUCUCGCUUGACGUGGAGGCAUAUUUUUGAAAGAGGAGAGCACAAAUCAAUAGCAGGGAGAGACACUUUAAGAACGCUAGACUUCUAAAAAAAAGAAUCACACUUUUACCUAAAAUGUCUUGUAUCCUCUUGCUCAUAGAUGUGGUGUGCUACACACCGAUGAUCAAGAAUCUACUUAACGUGACUUGUCAGACUCUCUAGCACACCUUAAAAACUUAGGCUUUGAUACCAAGUUUGUAAUGCCCCAAAAAAUGGGUCCCAGAGCGUCACAUAAUGCUUGAGGAUAUGAGUAGCCCAAGCUAACCCUUUGAGCCAUUUUCAUUCUGUGCAACACAAAUCAACUAAAUUUCCAUAAAUAACCCUCAAAUAUUAACAGAGCAAUCAUCAUCCAAGAAAAAAAGAAUUUUAGAAAGAUAAUAAAAUACGACUUAUUAGUCAAUUCCCAACAUCUAUACUAGUUUGACAAGCCUUUAAGAAAAUCAAUAAAACUAGCGAGCCAUUGAGACAUGCCCCAACUGACUCAUACUCAGUAAUGUCGCUUUAUACCUCUCACUUAGUGCUAAAGAUUUCUACCGGACUUAGCUUAGAUCAUUUCAAAGAUAAUCCACAACAAAACAAUUUCAGUAAUAUAUAAAUAUACAUCGGGAGCCAUCAUGCUUCCCAUCUAUCAAAAUCAAUCACAUUGUGGAUUUCUUUCACACUUGAGUUUAAAACAACUCCAUUAAGACCAAAAGCUCAAAUCAUCCAAAAUAUCCCAAAUAUUCAACAUCAACGUGCUUAUAACACACACUUUCUCAAAAAAAUACAAUUUCCAAUGGGGAUUCACCACCCAAAUAUCAAAAUCAUGAUAAAUAUCGUUCAAGAUUUAUACUUUAUAUCACCACACAUGUAAAGUCAUCUUUCUAAAUCAUAAAGAUCAAGAUUUCAUAAUAAUCAUCAUAAGAUAUGGGUUCAUGCUUCAAAUUCAUAAAAAUCAAAUAAAAAGCAUGCCUUUGUAAAGAAAAUUACUUUUGGCACAAGAACGAAAGAGAGUUGUUGUUGAAAAACCCACAUUCCUUGAAUGAAGAACUUUAGAUCGAUACUCAUUUUUGAGAUGUUAAUCGUGCCUUUGAAUUAUGGUUCUUGGAUUUCUUGAACUAGGAACUUGGAAUCUUGAAUAAAUUUGCAAAAUUAAUGGUGAACUUUGGAGGUUCUUGAUGUUGGAUGUAGGAGCUUAGGGUUUUCUUUUUGAGGGAGUUUGAUGAAAUAUAAUAUAUAAUUCUUCUAAUAGAAUUUAAUAUAGGGUUAGGUUAAAUGACCAAAAUGUCCCUAAAAUCAAAAAAAUUCUCGAAUCUGUCCUUUGGUGGACUAUUUUGAUAGUCUGAAGUAGAUCAACCAUAACGUUUUACUCCGAUAUUCAAAUUGAAUGAAACCAAUUUUAUUAUGAAGAGGACUCGCAUAUAUUUCCAUUGAUAUAUAGUAUCUCACCCAUAUCAAUGUGUAUGAGGAGUUAUGAUUGUUUGAAGUUGACCCAAAACUCAACUUUUGAUAGGCUGAAGUAGAUCGACCAUAACUUUUUGCUCCGAUAGAUAAAUUGGAUGAAAUCAAUUUCAUUGGAAAGAGGACUCGCAAAGAUUUUCGUUGAUAUAUAGUAGAUCACCCAGAUAAUUAUGUACAAGGAGUUAUGAUCAUUUAAAGUUGGAGGAAAAAUAUGCCAGGCCUCAGUACUUUUUCCUGCACGUUUUACUAUUCACUACUAUCCACGGUUCGAUCCGAAUGUUAAUAACUAGUCACUCGGGUGUCUGUUUUGGAUGAUCCACAUAUUUUUGGAAAGCUUAUUUGAUACUCUAUGCAAUGGUGUUUCAUAAUCUAAAAGAUUUUGCAUGAAAAAUUUAUAAUUCAUUCUAGAAGAUAGAACCCAACACGUUCACGCACAAAAUUUUAACAAAAAAUUUCCCGGGGUAUUAUAGGUCACAAGGCUAGUUAUGGCUCAACAAACUAACUAUAGGGUUUAAAGUCAAAUACUACACCAACCAGGGUCACAAGGCUAGUUAAGGUUUAACAAACUGAUUAAGUCAUCCUAAAAUUCACGAAUCAGUCAAGGAAUCAAAAAGAGGUAAUUUAUGUCAACAAAAGGCUGUUCUAGACAUUCUAUUUAAAACAAGGGUUAGGUGGAUGCACUGCCAGUCCCGAAAGACAGCCGAAGUCAAACUCCUAUCCAAUUCUAGUCUAAGAAUUUUCAAUCCCAUCCCAAGGAACUAAGCGUACUAAGACUAGUGUUGUUGUAAGUAAAAUAGGUGUCUCAUGAAUUUCUCUUGUCCGGAUCGUGACUAUUUCUGAGAAUAAAUUCAGAUUCAUGCCAGGUAGCUCAACUACUGAGGCUAUUCAUAUCGUGAGUAGAUUAGCGGAGCAGUAUAGAAAGAGGAAUAAGGACAUUCACAUUGUGUUUAUCAAUCUAGAGAAGGCUUACAUCAAAAUUCCUAGAGGUUAUUUAAAGGUACUUGAAGGCAAGAUGUGUUCCUAUGGCAUAUACUAGGUCGAUUAACAAUAUGUAUGAUGGAUCAAAGACUUGAGUGAGAAUGAUGGUAGGAGAUUCAUAGAACUUUCUUUUCUUGAUAGGGUUGCACCAGGGAUUAACUCUUAGUCCAUUCUUAUUCUCUUUGGUAAUGGAUGUAUUGAUAUUUAUUCAUGGAGAGGUACCUUGAUGUAUGUUAUUUACAGAUGAUGUAGUUCUAAAAGACGAGACUCGGGGAGGUAUUGAUGGUAAGUUGGUGUUUUGGAGACAAACCCUAUAGUCUAAAAUAUUUAGGUUCAUAAGGACCAAUACAAAAUACUUAAAGUGCAAGUUCAGUGAGUUGACUAAUGAGAUGGGUGUGGUAGUGAAGUUAAAUUCUCAAUCCAUUUGAUAGAAAGAUAGUGUCAAGUAUCUUAGGUCUAUGAUAUAAGAAAAUGAAGAGAUUGAUGAGAAUGUCACAUACCGUAUUGACAUAGGGUGGAUGGAAUGAAGGAUCAUUUCUGGAAUCUUGUGUGAUAAGAAGGUGCACCCUAAAUUAAAAGACAAGUUCUGCGAAAUGAUAGUCCGACCAGUUAUGUUGUCUGGGAUAGAGUGUUGGAUUUUUAAGUAGUGUGAAUGAAAAAUGAAUAGGUGUUUUUUUUGGAAAGAAACAAAGAGAAAGGAUGCAAUUUGAAUAGUCACCUUUCACUUUGGAUGGUUAUAGCCUUUCUAAUGGGUUAUGACUUUUUUGAAGAGGUACACCUUUUCCGAAGAGUUGCACCUUUAUGAAGAGGUGCACCUUUCUGAAUCAUUGCUUCUCUUAAUAAAGAAACACCUUGAUUGCUAUAACUACCUGAAUUUUUUCAUAGGUAAAGAAACAAUUUUGAAUUGAAAAACAAUAUUCUUCUUGUUCUAAAAACUCUCAUGUGAUCAUCAAAUCAAUAAAUAUUUUGGAGCUUUUGAAAAUUUGAGGUGCCGCUAUUUCUAGAAAAAGAAUUAUUUUAUACAGGGAAGAAAGAUUCCAUAACCUCGGGUACUUGAGAGGAAUAAAUUCCUUAAGGACAUAUCGUGCAUUCAGUGGACUAGGUUCUACAAUUUUCUGCUUCAUCUUCUUUUCUUAAAGUUAAUUUUACUACUUUUUCAAAAAAUAGUUCGAACUUCAUAUUGAUGGUUCUUCAAAUGUUUGAACUUGCAUUUGAAGUUCUUGAAACUUCAUUUUGAUAGUUCAUAAGUUGGUUGAAUUUGUGUUGAAGUUCUUAACAUUUGAUUUUUUCUUAAGAAAAUAGUAUGAACUUCAUUUUUGGUUGCUCAUAAGUUGUGUUGAACUUAUUGUUGAAGUUCAAAGUUGAAUAUACAGAGUUUAAACUUCAUUUGAUUGUUCAUAUAUUAAUUUGAACAUGUGUUUGAAGUUAUUGUUAAAUAAAUACAGAUUUUACUGAUUAAACUUGAACAAAAUAACAAUCUUUAGGAAUUUAUUGAAAAUAAAUAUUGUUUGUUCUUGUUUGGUGAAAUUUUGUUUCACUGGGCCAAGUACUUUUGUAAUUUGUAUUGAGACUGAUUUUUUAGUGACUAAAGUUUUAUGAUGUUCUACUCUCUUGGUUGUAAGAAUAUAAAAACUUCACUGUGAAAUCAAUGUGAGAAUUCGGUUUGAAAAAUAUAAAAACUUCAUCGAUUCAUUGAACUCUCUGUACUUUUGUGUUUCUGGAGAUUAAAACUUUUGUCUUUAUAUUCUCUUUGAACUUAAUAUUAAUUUGAAGAUAUAAAAACUUCAUCAUGAUUUAAAGUUCAUUCAGUUGAUGAUUAGAAGUGUUGGGUUCGAAAUCAAGAGGGCAUCAUGCGGAAGUUAUUAGUUGCAAACUAUGAGACGAUAAAUAAGAUGACACCGAAAAACAAUACUAAAAACAUAAUUCUAUUAUAUGAUUUGGCCUAAAAUCUAAUAUUUAAAAACAUAAAACUAAUAAGAGAUAAAAUCUACCCCUAAGCAUGACUCUUAAAAGACUACAUCGUGGAUGUUAUUGUGUUAUGGUAUGAGAAGGGGGUCUUCUAUUUAUAGAUGUCCAGAAUCUUUCCUCCAAGAAAGAGGUUAGCCAAAUAUGAAAAAGAAUUAUAUUUUUUCUUUCAGAAAAAGUAAAAGUAAUUAUGGUAACGUUUAUUUUCUUUCUAAGAAAAAGUAAAACUUAAAUAUAGUAAGAAAAUCAGGGUAAAAGUCCUAACAAAUCUCCCCUUUUUGGCUUGAUUUUCUUCAAAAUAUUCUUGAUCCUCCUUCUUCUUGUGCAUGAUCUUUGUUCGUCAUAUAUAUUCUUCAUAUAUCACUGUUGCUUACUAUGAUUAAAAAUUAAUAUGGGUUAAAAUUGAAGACCUAUGCAUUAAAAAUAGAAGCACAGGUUGAUAAGAUUGAAAGUGAAUCCUUGUGCAUUGAAAGUGAGCACAGGUUAAUAGUGGAGUUCAUGCGUUAAAAAUAAAUACACGAGUUGAAAGGUACCCAAGUAUUUAAGCAAGUAUGGGUUGAAAAUUGGAGCCCAUAAACCUGGGUUGAAAAUUGAUUUUGGAUUUAAAGAUGGAUAAGCAGCAAGAUUGUUGAAAUUUUUUUUGAAAUUUUUUCUUCACAUGUAGUUUGACAAAAAUCUUCAUUAUCGUCCAAAUUGUUGCAACUUGAUUUUGAAACCUCUUUGAACCUGUUUAAUCUUGUCUCACCACACCAUUGGAUCAUUGAACCAUAAGCUCUGAUACCACUUGUUGGGUUUGAAAUCGAGAGGGCGUCAUGCGGAAGCUAUUAGUUGCAAACUAUGAGACGAUAAAUAAGAUGACAACAAAAAACAAUACUCUAAACAUAAUUUUAUUAUAUGAUUUGGUAACUUGGCCUACAUAUAAAAUCUAAUAUUUAAAAACAUAAAACUAAGAAGAGAGAAAAUCUCCCCCUAAGCAUGACUCUUAAAAGACUACAUCGUGGAUGCUAUUCUGUUAUGGUAUGAGAAGGUAGUCUUCUAUUCAUAGAUGUCCAAAACCUUUCCUCCAAGAAAGAGGUUAGCCAAAUAUGGAAAACAAUUAUAUAUUUUCUUUUAUGAAUAGUAAAAAUAAUUAUGGUAACUUCUAUUUUCUUCUAAGAAAAAGUAAAACUUAAAUAUAGUAAGAAAAUCAGGGCAAAAACCCUAACAAGAAGAACAUAGAAACUUCAUUGUUAAACUAGAAACAAGUUGGUGUUUAAAGUUUUUAGAACUUUAUAAUUAGUAUUCUGACAUAUUAAGUCUGUUGUCUCUUUAUUACAACAAAAUGUCUGCUGAAAGUCAUGCAAAUGAUGGAAUGGCCAUAUUUAAAAUUAAAUAGGCCAAAAUUAUAAUGCAAAUUAGCUGAUUACUUGUCAAUAUGACCAAGAUCUAAAUGAAUUAACUAAAUUCCUAUCUAAUUUGACUAUAUUUUACAUGACCCAAGAAUUGGCCAAAAUAACUAAAAAUUACCCAAACAUAGAAAUUAUGUUUCAUUUAUUAUAAAAAAUUUCACCUCCCUAAACAUAUUACAUUAAUCCCACUUUUUAACUUUAUCUCUCCGAAAAUACAUAUACAUAGAAUUCCCUUUCACUCUCACUGUUUCUCCCCUUAAAAAAGGCUAGAAUCAAGGGUUGGUUUUCAUGUUUGAAAUCAACCAUGUUUGAGUCCAACUGCUAGUCAAUGGUAUUCCAUUUCAACUUAAUAUUCUUUUAACAUUCUCAAUUUUUAAGAUCUGAGGACUAUUAAAAUUUUUAUUUUCAUUAUCUAGUCGAAAUUUUUGAAUUUUUUGAAAGAAGAAAUUAUUGCAUGUUUUUAUUAAGUAAUUUUUUGGAUUUCUACUUUAUCAAAUCAUAGUUUGAAUAUCUGCAUUAUCUUUUUUUCUUUUCAAAAUUGUCUAUUUCAAGUACUAAAUAAACAAAUUAGUUAAUGGAUGAUUCUCCUUCGUUUAGUUUAGGAUUAACUCAAAUACCGAAACAACAAAUACGUUAGUUGGGUUCAUUCUCGAAGUAUUUAAUUACUAGGAACCUAACUUUGUUGAAAACAGAUCAAAAAAUCGUAACGACCCCAUCAAGAUAAAAAAGAUUAACAAAGCUAUAGCUUCAAAGUCAAAAAAAUAAAUUAGAGAAUCGUCAAGAAAAUUCAAAAAAGAUGAUAAUGGACGGCCAUGAUUACCAAAGAUAUUUUGGAUUUUUCAAUUUUGAUUUUUUUUAUUAUGGGUUUAUUGUGUUUUUUGUAACUAAUUUGAGGUUUUAAAAAUGUUAAUUAAUUAUCUGUGGUUGUUUGUUCUUAUGGAUUUGUUGGGGUUUUUCCUAAGUUUGAAGUUAUAUUAGAAACUGGUUGUGCAUUAUUCAUUACAUGUUGAACAUAUACAUAACUUUUGUUUUGGAUUUUAUUGUGUAAUGUGUGUUUGAGGCAAUGAAUAUUAAUAUGUAUAUAUAAAACAUAUACAUAAGUUGCAUAUGUUAUUAAACCUGUAAUGAAUUUCCUAGUUCAAAUACAUCAUAUUUUUUAUGUAUGUGUUUUUAGUUUUCUUAUGUGUCUAAGGCUAUGGACAUUACCUAUGUUUUUGUCUAACAUAUACAUGGCUUACUAUAUGUUGUUAGAUGUGUAAUGAAAUGUCUUGUUUAUAUGCAUCAUUUUUUUUAUGUAUUGUCCAUAUACGAGCCUAGGUGUUAGAUGUUGUUAGAUGUGUAAUGAAAUGACUAGUUGUUAUGUAUAGUAUAUGUUUUGACCAUAUAGGCUCACAUAUGAUGUCUUUUUCAAUUCCAAUAGGGUAUGAAAUAUAAAAUAAAAAUGUCCCUGUGUAUUCCUUGUAUUUUGGUAGUUAUUGCAACAGCGAAUUUGGAUUAGAUAUAAAGAAUUAUGUUGGUGAAAAAGUUCACAAUCUUAUCCGUCAAAUAAUAUUUGGUUCCUUUCUAGAUAUGCCCUAAUAUAUUUUUUAGGAUCAGAUUUCUAAAUGGUUAUUUAUGCUUGAGAUAGAGCAAGAUAUCCCGGAUGAAAUUCACGUUUACAUGCAGGGAACUAUUCUCAAGGUUUGUAUUGCUGAGUUUGCUAUAAUAUCUGGACUUAAAUGUAUAGAGAACACCGAGGAACAGUUGUAUACUGAAUCAUCUAAGUUUGUAUUUAUGGAGAAGUUUUUCCCAAAUUCAAAAAAUUAUGUCAAAUAGUUUAUUUUUGUACGGCGAUUCAAGUUGAAAAACUUCAACAAUAAUACCGAUUCUUUGAACAUGUCUAUCCUUUACUUUAUUCAUACUUUUGUGUAUUCACAAAUACGUGAUUCUAGUAUUAGAAGAUCAGACUUUAUGAUGGUGGAGGAUGGAAAGUAGGGACAAUUUCCAUGUGGGAAUACUUUGUUUCAAAAGCUGAUUACAACGUGGAGAUAGGAUUUCUUUGUUGAAAAACAGCUAUACCAGAUCGGGGGAAUACCUCAUGUGCUAAAUAUAUGGAUGUAUGAAUGUUGUUCUAAGGUAUACAGUACAAUGCUGAGUAGAUGAGAAAUGUAAUUCCAAGAAUUUUUAACUAGAAGGUUGUUGGGAUUAAGGUCAAGUAUAAGAAGUUCUGGUUUAUAUUAUAUUUUGGAAAAAUUAUUAUAUAAGGUUGAUAUAUAUCAUAAAUUGUUGUAUGCAUUUUUUAUUUUAAUUUCAUUAACAAUUGCUCACAUAUAUAUACUACUUAAACGUACAAGAACUCUUUUUGGUAUAAUCAAACUUCAUAUGUUUAUUCUUAAUUAUACAUAAUCUGUGUUAUGUACAUUAAUCAAUAUCCAUAACACAGUUAUUUAUAUUGUUUGAUAUACAUAACUGUGUUAUGCAUAUUUGAUAAUAUACAUAACUGUGUUGUGUAUAGUACACAACAUACAUAACUGUGUUAUGUAUUGUCUAAUUAUUUAUGCAUAUUAACUAAUUUAUUUUGGAUGCAACUAAUAUUUUGUUUAUUUAAUUAGGAUGGUGAAGAAUCAAAUAUUUGGGCAGAAAAGGAAACAUUCAAUGUAAGUUUAUGGUUGAAGCAUUAAAGGUUAUUUAUGACAAUUUCUUUAUUGAAAUUGAUUUUUUCAAAUUUAUUCUUACAUAUAUUUCACAACAAAAUCAAUAGGAUCAUGAUGUGGAAUGUUCAAAAAAGGGAGAUGUACCAUCAAAAGAUUAGGUUGAUGAGAUGGAUUUCUUUCCCAUAGUGAAAGACAAAGGAAAAGUGUAACGCCCCGCAAUUCGGGCUACAAUAUAGACCAUGAUUUAGAUGUGUUGUUAAUCCUGAAGCCAUAAAAUCCUAUGCCAAUAUGGCAUUUUAGUUAUUGCCUAGCAUGUGAAUCCACCCAAGCUUGAAUUUAGACCAUAGAGGUCCUUCAACUCAAGGACGAGUUGAAACUAUUUCGAUCGACUAAGUUUUAGUGGACCUUGUAAAGUGUGUCAGUUUCCAUUGACUAUAACUCUCUGUAUAUGUCAAAUUAGGAAGCCUACUAUGUGUCAAAUGAUAGGUUUUGAGUUAUCUUUCCAACAAUACCAAUUUGACUAAAAUCCGACACCCGAGCAAGAAGUUAUGGCCUUUCAAAGUGAUAAGCGUUGCCUAACCAAUCACGCAUGGCGGCGCCUAUGUAAACAUAGGCGAUAGCCUAGGCGGCGCCUAUGUAAACAUGGGCGAUAGCCUAGGCGGCGGGAUGGGUGGCGCCUAUGUAAAGAAUUCUAGUGACUUAAACACUCCGUGUUGAGGACAAAGUGGUCCUUUUCCACCCUUACUUAGCCCUAAAACAUGAAAUUUAGUUCCAAGGACCCCAAAAUACAUAUUCGUUCAUCAAAAGUGCUCAAAGAUUCUCCUUAGGGUUUUAAAAUAAAAACCCAAAUAGCGCAAGAUUUGAUCGUAGGUUUUCAAAGAUAAUUACAUAUUUGAAAUCACCGAUCCGCAAGUUUCAAGAAACAUCUAUUAUCCUUGGAAAUAGAGGUACGUGGGGUUAUCUAAAAAUCUCAUGGGUGUAGUUUUUAUGAACAUGCAUGCUUUUAAAUGGGGGUAAUGCUACAAAUGCUAAUAUCUUGCUUUCAAUACGAUAUUUAUGUCAUUUUCUUUAUGUCCUGGAAAUUGUUUACCUAUAUACUUCAAUGGUUGAAACCAUGCAUAUGUGAAUUGAGAUUUUUGAUGGAAGUUUGAUAAAUAUGAAUGAUAAAUUAUUUUCAAAUUCUCAUGAUAAUGUUUUGAUACUCCAUAUUAUAUUGUGAUCAACAAAAGAGAGCAUGAAUUUGAAAUAAAUAUUGUUCACCACUUGUAAAUGAUGAAGCACCUUGGAUUUUACAUGGUUAUGAAUAUGUGGAAGUGAUAUUGAGGACUUGCAAGUCGGCUAUGACGAUACCCUACAGAACAUGAUAUGUGAUUGAAUUAGAUGAAAUUUGAAUGCAUUGAUUUUAUAUGAGAAAGGUGGAUGCCCGAAGAAGGCGUUUGAGAUAUAAGGGCUCAUCGCUGGAAAACGUGUUUACCGACACGGAAUAUUGGUACCAGGCUAAGUGAUCUUGUGUACUUGAAUUCAUGUCAUUCCCAAAUUAUGACUAUAGCUAGGAGCCCGGGCUAAGUGAUCUUGGGCACUGCCAUUGGGUCGAGACACCAUGCUAUGUGAUCUUGUGUGUCUCUCCCUCACUUAUACUCUAAUCUCGGUGGCAACUGAGGUUAGAUAGUUGAUGUAAAUUAUGUAGGGUAUUCCACCUAGCUUAGUUGCAUUUCAUUGUUGUUGAGAAAACCAUUGCAUUACACCCCAUGUGUUUUCAAAUGAUUUGAUACGAAAUUUGCUUUAUAGUGGCUCUCAACAAUAUAUUGUAAAAAUAUUAUUUCUUUUAUAUAUCUAUGUUCCAGUACUUUUGUGCUGACCCCCUCCCUCUCCAACCUCUUAGGUUCAGAGUCCCAUUCUAGGGGUCAAUAGAAUCAGUAGAUCAUUCAGACAGAAUCGCAGAGACAAGUGGUGAGACUUCUAUGUUUCGGAAGGUCUUAUGUCCUGCAGUCCUUUUUUCUUAUAUUCAGUUUUGGGGUCUGGUUUUUACAUGGUUAUGCAUAUGUGGAAGUGAUAUUGAGGACUUGCAAGUCGGGUAUGACGAUACCCUACAGAACAUGAUAUGUGAUUGAAUCAGAUGAAAUUUGAAUGCAUUGAUUUUACAUGAGAAAGGUGGAUACCCGACGAAGGCGUUUGAGAUAUAAGGGCUCAUCGCUGGAAAACGUGUUUGCCAACACGAAAUAUUGGUACCAGGCUAAGUGAUAUCGGGCCUCCAUGGUUCGAAAUGCUCGUCACGGCCAGACCCUGGUUCGGGACGUGACAAAAAGUGUCACUUUUAAAGAAAUUCCUUCAUUAUUAUCAUAAAUUGAUAACAUCAAAUUUUUUCUUAUACUAAUGUCAUCAGGAUGAUGAAGUGAAAGAUUUUACAACGGGAGCUGCACCAUCACUAGACAAUGUCGAGGAGAUGGAUAUCAUCACAAGAUUGAAAGAGAAAGAAAAACAGAUGAUUUUUCCAAAAUAAUAGUUUCACAUAGGUGUUUUAUAUAUGAUAUUAUAUUUAUUUUUCAAAUUUAUGAUAUAUUGUUAGCUUAGUUUGUUGUGUAUUCUGACUGAUGUGUCUGGUAGUUAUAUUGUUAUUACAGUGAAUAUGUGAUAUGUGAUAUGUAUGCAUUUAUAAUAUACAUAUAUAAUACAUCAAAAUGAGAACUUUAUCAUAAACAAUGCAAUGCACAUUUUAAACUUUACGGUUGUCGGUGAUAUUGACAAAUCAUUACACAAAGUAUUUAGUGAUGAUAUAAGGGAGGAUGCUAUUAUUGAUGGGAACCACAAUCAUGUACAAAAAAAAUCUGAGGUUAGAUAUUUCAUAUUUUAAAACUUAUAAUUAAAAUAAUAAAUUAAUUUAGUUUGGUAUAUGUUUUAGAUUAUCUAUAACGGGAUUUUGAAGAUUUUAGUGCGGAUGUUGGAACUUCUGUAUUAAAUGCUCUUGUCGAAGAAGUGGUAAAUCAGGAAUCGGAGGAUAUUGGAACUGCUAAAUUAAAUGCUCCUGUCGAAGCUGUGGUACAUUAAAAAUUGGAUUACUCCAAAGUUAAAACAUCUAUGACAGAGAAUAUCCAUAAAGAUCAUACGGUAAAUACAUAAAGUGCAUUUUUUCUAAUUUUAGUGUCAAAUUUUAUAUACAUCACACUAUUUUUACUAACGCAUUUAAACAAAACUAACAUUAUACAUAUAAAAUUUCAAUUGUAAGAUGUUUACUUGAGUACCAUUCCAGAAUCUGCUCAAGCCGAGAUAGAUGCCAUAAUGGAAUGUUUAGCAGCACCGGUGGAUGACAUUCCUCUUGAAGUUGUUAAACCAAUAGAAGAAACCGUUAGCCUGCAUUCUAUAUAUGAUAGUUAGAUUCCUCCAGAUUUUUCUGAUGCAGCUGUUACAGCUCAUCAAGUUGCAAAAUUCCCUGACCAGGACUAAAUCUAAAGUUUUCAAGUCACCAUACCUGACAGAGUAUGUUUCUAGUUCAAAGUCCCUUGAGGAUGAAACCGCAGAUUUGAAACAUAAAUUCGCAUUUGAAGGUUUUGUAUUAUCUGACGGUAUGCCGAGGGGUAUCAUUGAAGAGUACAAGAAAUGGGUUGUUGAAGGUCUAUUGAAGUUUCACACAAAAAAGUAAGUUUUAACAUUAUUAAACUGNNNNNNNNNNNNNNNNNNNNNNNNNNNNNNNNNNNNNNNNNNNNNNNNNNNNNNNNNNNNNNNNNNNNNNNNNNNNNNNNNNNNNNNNNNNNNNNNNNNNNNNNNNNNNNNNNNNNNNNNNNNNNNNNNNNNNNNNNNNNNNNNNNNNNNNNNNNNNNNNNNNNNNNNNNNNNNNNNNNNNNNNNNNNNNNNNNNNNNNNNNNNNNNNNNNNNNNNNNNNNNNUUAUGUAAAUGUGUUCCUGUUAUGUAUGUUAUUAACCAGUAUAUGUGUAUUCAUGCCUUACUGGAUAGUUUAUGCAUGGCCCAUUUUUGGUAAUUAGCUAUAUAUAAGCCUGAGUGUAAAUAGAAUGUUUGUAUAUAUUUGCUAUAUGCCUGUCUUAUUUUAUGCAUGUAGAUGCUUCUUGAUAUGUAUGUGCAAAAGCUAAUGAAUAUCUUCUUUUGUAUAUAUCAGUCUAAUACAUAUACACACUAACAUUUUAUAAAUACCUCUACCUGCAUGUUAGGUAUAUUAAUUCCAUAAUUAUGUAUACUCUUUGUGACUCAUAAUACUUAGUGUAAACAUACAAAUAUGUUCAGAGUAUAAACCAACAUAAUGUAUCUUCUUUGUAUUUCAUUUUUGUAGCAUAAUGAUGUGAUAUUCUAUCACCUGCGCAAUAAAUCGAAAUUAAGGAUUGAUUAAGAAUAGAGAUUCACACUAUAAGAAAAACAACCUUUAGGGAAGGAAAAUCUGGUCCCUAAAAGUCCAAUUCUGGUCGCAAAUGACCUCUUAGGACGGGAAAAUGCUCGUCGCGGCUCGUCCUAAUAGACUUCUUCGCUAAAGGUCAAUUGCGACGAGGUGUUCUAUCUGGUCGUUAAAUGUUAUUAGCGACGGUAACAUUUUCGGUCCCAAAAAUACUUUUAGAGACCGUAUAUAUCAUCCCAAAUAUAUGAUUUUCAUUUUUAAAAAGUUGUUAUUUUGUGGUCGCUAAAUCCUUUUUUGCGACAAGUAACUACCUUGUCCUAAAUUACUCUAUCUAGACAAGCAAUUAACUCGUCCUUGAUUAAUCUUUAGAGAUGAGAAUGAGAAACUAACCAGUCCUUAUUAACCUUUACGGACAAGCAACUAACUCGUCUUAAAUUAAUGUUUAGCCCAAACAAUAUUAUAUUUAUAUCUAUAAUUUACCACCAAUAGUACGUACUAAAACUUUAUAUCAUAAAUGUAUAUAUUUCACUGUUAAAUAUAAAAUUAUUACUGAAAAUGACAAAGCAUAAUAAAUAUAAUUUUAAUAUUUGCUAAACAAUAAAAAAACUUAACCAAUCAACAUCCCGAUCUAGAAUAUUGUCAACAGUUUCAAUAUUUUUUAAACAAAAAAACUUAACAAAUUAACAUCCCAAGUUAGAAUAUGAUGUCAAUCUUUACAUAAUGUUCUUAGCAAAAUAAUAAUAAACUUGUGCAUCAUCUAAACUUGCAUCUUCUCUUGUAACUUCAAUCUUCAAAAAUCUGUCAAAACAAAGUUUCGAAAAGUCAAUCCUUUAAUUAAACAACCAUGACAAAGGCUCUUGCACAAUAACAUAACAUGAUAGAGUUGCAUGACAUGAUAUUCAAGUUGAUACAAGUGGAAUAAAGUGGGUAACUAUUGAGCUUUAACUUUUGUGAAGGUCUCGCUCAUUCAAGAAGGUGAAAGCUGUUUGCUAUUUUCUUACACCACAUAUAUUCUUAAAUAACCAAACUAAAGGUGAAAAGACCUUUAAGUGGAGCUGUUUCAUUACACCACAUAUAUUUUUCUUGUAAUAAUGUAACUAAAUCUAUCCAGAGACAUGUUUUACUAGAGAGAAAUUGAAGAAGCAAAACAGUUUCAAUAAAACACACAAGCAAUAGCAGGUAUAUGGAUCUACUAUACAUUAUCUCUCUAAUAAACACACNNNNNNNNNNNNNNNNNNNNNNNNNNNNNNNNNNNNNNNNNNNNNNNNNNNNNNNNNNNNNNNNNNNNNNNNNNNNNNNNNNNNNNNNNNNNNNNNNNNNNNNNNNNNNNNNNNNNNNNNNNNNNNNNNNNNNNNUUCAGUCAUACAUCUUCUUUGUUUAAAAAAAUACACUAUGUCAAGCAUCUCAUUUACUUAUAAUCCAAGCAUCACCAAGAAAUACUCAAGCCCCCCACACCCCAAUCCCCAUACUCAAGUCCACUAAUAACAAUGCUAUACAUGAAAAUAAAGGUAAAUGCAUCCUAACAUAAUUCUCCAACAAAGUUCAAGGUAUAAUCUUGAUAAAAUGUAAUUAAAUAAUAACCAAGUAAAAUAAAUACUUACUUGGACAACAAAAUAAGCUAGUGUCAUUUAGUUGAAAUGGGUGGGGUCGUAUGAGGGAUAUGAGAUUGUUGAGCAGCAAAAAUUUCUUGCAUUUUUCUUAUUUUUUCUAUCUCAUCUUCUAAGGUUGACAAACGAUCAUUCAAUGAUUUGUUUUACUCAAUCAAGGAUUUAUUGUCCUCUCGAGUUGAACGUAGAGCGGACAGUAAUUUAGUCUUUGAAGAAGUGCCCCCUUUCAUAUCUUUCGCCUUUACUCCACCUCCAAAGCAAACUACAUGACUACGAUUUUGAGAUCCCCAACAAUUGUCUACAAUCUCUAUGGUAGGUAGAAAUGGCUCUGCUUUCACAAUUUCUUCAAUCUGAGCCUACACGAUAAAUAAAUGGACAUUUUCAAUCAGAACCCAUAAUAAUUUUUAGUAUUUUACAAAUUUAGUUUACCAAACGCACAUGUUUUUCAAUUGCUUCAGGUUCAACAAGCUUGUUCCUUUCUUAUGAGUCUUAAAGAAAAUAGUCCCCAAAUCCAGAGGAUUGCCAUCUUUUCCACCCUUUACAUCAAAGAGAAUAUUUCAAAUAAUACCUUAUAAGUAUUUUAUUAUGAAAAUAAUUUUUGCUACUACCUGCUGAUACAUUAUCUCUCGAAUAGGCUUGCUACCAAUAUGACGGAGCAUUGUCAAAUUAGCUUGGUUUGUUGUAUUUCUUUUGCUUCUCGCCUGUAUUAUUCAAGUUUUUGAGGCUAUUUUCUUACCCUUAUUAUUCUUUGUCUCCCCGCUAUGUGCAUCUACUUUCUAUCUAGACGUACCACAAAUUUUGCAAGAAUCAAGUAAGUUAUCCUACUUCUAAUAUAACAUGCAAUCGUUAGUACAAACAUCAAUCUUGUUGUAAGAAAGCCAAAGCUUUCGAAUUAUCUUCUUUUCCUCAUAAUAUGAAUUUGGUAAAUUAGAUCCAUUAGGGAAUAACUCAUCUUUUAUCAUUUUCAAUAGCAUGGUAAAUGACUCAUUGCUCCAAUGACCCAUACUUUUGAUGUGGAGCAAUUUAAUCAAAGAUGAAAGCUUUGAAACCUUUGAAUUUUGAUACGGAUGCUCAAAAUCCUCCAAAAUGCUAUAAAACCUUUCAGCAUCAGUGUUUGGAUCCUCCCAAAGUUUAUCAUGAAAACCAGUUUAUGUACCUCCUCCACCUUCAGCAUUAGGAUAUAAAUCUCUCAAUAGUUCUUGUACUUCAUCUUCAUCUUCACUCUCAAAAUUAUCUNNNNNNNNNNNNNNNNNNNNNNNNNNNNNNNNNNNNNNNNNNNNNNNNNNNNNNNNNNNNNNNNNNNNNNNNNNNNNNNNNNNNNNNNNNNNNNNNNNNNNNNNNNNNNNNNNNNNNNNNNNNNNNNNNNNNNNNNNNNNNNNNNNNNNNNNNNNNNNNNNNNNNNNNNNNNNNNNNNNNNNNNNNNNNNNNNNNNNNNNNNNNNNNNNNNNNNNNNNNNNNNNNNNNNNNNNNNNNNNNNNNNNNNNNNNNNNNNNNNNNNNNNNNNNNNNNNNNNNNNNNNNNNNNNNNNNNNNNNNNNNNNNNNNNNNNNNNNNNNNNNNNNNNNNNNNNNNNNNNNNNNNNNNNNNNNNNNNNNNNNNNNNNNNNNNNNNNNNNNNNNNNNNNNNNNNNNNNNNNNNNNNNNNNNNNNNUGUCGAUUUACUAUCCAAACAAGCAUAUAUUCAUCACAGACCAAAAAAAUUUAAACAUCUCAGAUAAAUUCGCUAGUGCAACAACAAUAACAGUGACAAAAAUACAAAUUUGUAUGAAAGACAAGAAUAGAGUGAGAAAGUGAUGUUUGAUGAUAAAUUUAUUGACUCCCAUAAUGGAUCUGAAAAUAAAAGCAGUCAUUGAACAUUUCUCAAGUAACUAGUACUAAAAAAACAAAAUUUUUAUAUAUUGGAUCCAGAUAGGUUUGAACGCGGUGACAUGAAGUCAAGAACAAUGAGGAUUCAUAUAGCCAACCCCAAGUAGUUUAAGAUUGAGUAGUAGUUGUUGCCUAAAAGCUAUAUCUAAAUUUUCAUUAUAAAGGGGAUUAAGAAUAUAAAAUAGGGUUUUUCCUUUCCCUUUUCUCUUUCUUCUUUCUUUAUGAAGUAAGAAUAACAAUACAACAAGAUCUCUAACUUGGAAGCAAAAUGAAAAGAUUCUACAAAAUUUUAUAACUUGAAAUCCGUAGUAGAUCAAAAAGUAGCAGUAUAGCACCAAACAAAAUGCAAGCAAGUAAUUAAAAUAAUUCAAGAGACAGAAUGAGACUACAACAUUGGGAUAGGUACAGUUUGUUUCAUAACACCAAAUUCCUACAAAAGAUGUUACCAUUUGUUUCAUGGAUGGAAGGUUGCAGCUUUGUUAUUUAACUUAGUUGGAGAUAUUAUAGUCACUUGUUUAGAUUUCACCAUAGAAGAUGAGGCUAUGGUUUGCCAUUAGAAUGAUGUUACAUGGACAUUUAUUGAGGGGCUAUUUUUGUUGUAGAUCAAUACAUUGACAAUGUUGUUCUUCAUGAAGUUAUUAUUUAGGUUUCGAUUAUCGGUAAGUGUGGCAAUGUAUUUCUAAAUAGUUCCAUAUACUGCACUAUUUCUACUAGCAAGUUACCAGUAAUAUUGUUCUUCAUGAAGUUCAUUAUUUAGGUUUCGAUUAUCGGUAAGUGUGGCAAUNNNNNNNNNNNNNNNNNNNNNNNNNNNNNNNNNNNNNNNNNNNNNNNNNNNNNNNNNNNNNNNNNNNNNNNNNNNNNNNNNNNNNNNNNNNNNNNNNNNNNNNNNNNNNNNNNNNNNNNNNNNNNNNNNNNNNNNNNNNNNNNNNNNNNNNNNNNNNNNNNNNNNNNNNNNNNNNNNNNNNNNNNNNNNNNNNNNNNNNNNNNNNNNNNNNNNNNNNNNNNNNNNNNNNNNNNNNNNNNNNNNNNNNNNNNNNNNNNNNNNNNNNNNNNNNNNNNNNNNNNNNNNNNNNNNNNNNNNNNNNNNNNNNNNNNNNNNNNNNNNNNNNNNNNNNNNNNNNNNNNNNNNNNNNNNNNNNNNNNNNNNNNNNNNNNNNNNNNNNNNNNNNNNNNNNNNNNNNNNNNNNNNNNNNNNNNNNNNNNNNNNNNNNNNNNNNNNNNNNNNNNNNNNNNNNNNNNNNNNNNNNNNNNNNNNNNNNNNNNNNNNNNNNNNNNNNNNNNNNNNNNNNNNNNNNNNNNNNNNNNNNNNNNNNNNNNNNNNNNNNNNCCGGUGAUUCAGAUACGGUAGUUUCUACUCAGCAAGAUUAUGCUCAGUCUGUUGUUGUGGCCUAGAAUGAAGAGGCAAUAAAAAAUAUAUUUAAGGGAUUUUACAUUCCAGCUGGGUUACAAUGGCACCUAGUUAAUGUGGUGUAUGUUCCUGUCAAAUGCAAUCAAAAGUUUCACUUGGUAUUAGCUGUUAUUGCUCUAAAAAAUAAAGGCAUACUUGUCUAUGACUCACAGUCCAAUCUAAGAAAUAUGGACUUAUCACCCGAGAUUCCCAAGUUGGCAGUGAUUCUGCCAACAUACUUGUCCGACAAUGAAUUUUUUGAAGAAACAUCACGCACAGAUUGGCCAAAUCUUGAUGCAUAUAGGAAUAAAAUGAGUCAAAGGACACAGUUAGUGAAACAACACCCAUUUGAGGUUUAGUAUAUGCAAAACAUUACGCAACAAGCAUGUGACAGCUUGUAUGUAAUCUUUAUAUAAUUUUAUAUGAACUAUUAUUUACGACGUGUAAUGCGAAAUAACAUGUUUGUUUUUAUGCAUGGUGUUGACAGCCAAAUUUGGCUCUCAAUGCCUAAAAUUAACACAUUUAGGCUUCUUGAUCAUUAAAUGGUACUAAAAUAUAAUUUUUCACAUAUUUUUAGUAAUUGUUAAUAACUUAUUGAUAAUGAUCAUUAUUUUAGGAUUUUUACUCAUUUAUUGUCAUAUUUUAGUUUUACAUAAUUUAUUUAUAAUUAUUUUUAAUUUCAUAAAUUUUAGGAUUUUUAUCAAUUUAUUAUUAUUUUAAUAUUUUUUUCCAGUCAUCUUCAUACGUAUACAUCAUAGCACUACAAUUCUUUACUCCGUAGUAUAAUUUUAAUUAUUUAUAGAAUGAUAUAUUUUUUAUUUAUUGUUUAUAUUUUAUUUUUGUAAUAAUAUAUCGACAUUUAUAUUUUUAUAUAUUAUUUAAGGCGAUAUACAAGCGAUAGUGUCAGCUCUGUUAUUUUAAUACACAGAGUAAAAAUCAGUCAAGUCAACGUCAUGUCAACUUUUUAAAAGAUAAACAUAUGAGGUGAUGGAUUAACAUUUUUAUCUAUUAAAUAAUAACUCAUGGUCUAAAGGUAUGCACUAAAAGGAACAAUAUUAAUAUUUUCUGGUUAAGAGAAGGGGUUCUUUUUUAUUAUAAAUAAUAAAGGGAGGGGUUACUUUUUAGUAUCCUCAAUACACAAUACACACGCAAAUCUAGCAUUCUUUUCUCUCCACCCUCUCACUGCCAGAGCUCACUGAAUCUCUGACAAAACCACUUCUUAAACCCGAUCCACCAUCAGCCCCCUUUUUUUCCUUAUUUUUCGACCAAAGACACUCCAAACCAGUAAUGCCCUCUCUUUACUCCUCCAUUUUACUGCUAGCUCGCCGGAGGUGGUGACCGGAAAGAUUUGAGCUCCAGCCGUGCCACCACCACGCCCCUCUCCCACUGAUCUCUCUUUUUCCCUCUCCCAUCACUGCACCCUCUUUCCACUGCCCAGACCAUGAUGGGCCAGAUCUGUUCGAAAUUUGUAUUGCCGGUGUUGCUUCAAUGAAGUCAUAUAAGCAACAUCAGCACUUUUCCCUUUAUCCUCUUUGUUUUGCUACUGUUUCACUAAUAGCGACCAGAUCUGGUCGGACUUUUCAUGGUUUAAGUGUUCCUCCGAUCAGGCAGACAGGAUGUCGUCUCUAGUGAUCUCUUCUUUAAUAUGUAUUUAUAUAUGUUAUAAUUAUUUUCUUGAUUUAUUUUUUGUUGUUCAUUAUAUCAUUUCUUUUCAAUUUUUAUCAGAUUCUUGGUUUGUUCGGGUGUUUUGAUUGUUACUUGCUAGUAUCAUAGUUGUGGAACAACUUUGCUAGUUUCAUGUCUGUUAUUGCCUUUGUUUUGGGGCUGAUUAACAUUCUGUUUUGGGUAAUUACAUUACAUUUUACCCCUUAUGAUUUUAUUACCCUAAUAAUGAACAAGAUACUACACAUUUGGGGCGAUGAAGAAAUUUUUCAUCGAUUUUCGAGGCCUCCAUAAAUAAUAGACGGAUAUUACGUAUACAAAUAUGUAAUAAAAAGGGUUUUAUCAUUCUUAUUUUGGCAAGGCAAUUUAGGACAAUCAAUCAAUUGAGCAACCACUUCGUAGCCAUGGCGCAUCUAAAAUUUAAUCCGAGCCCAUCUUUUAACAAAAAUUAUAUUUUAAAAUACAUAUAUGCACACAUACCUUUUAAAUUUAUUUUGAUAAUUAUUUAUUUGUUACUAACAUUUUUGUUACAAGUGUUUAUACAGGUGUUUGAGAAUACUCGUUGGGAAAGACAUUUAAAGAAGAUUUUAAAUUGUUUUGUACUUUUAUUUUUUUAUACUUGUACAAAUAUUAUGAUAGGGAAAAUUUUAUUUUUGGGGUGUUGGGUGGGUUAUUCUUUAUUUUACGCGAUUCUUAUCACGUGUUAUGCAAAUUUAGGCCGUUAACAUUUAUAUUAAAAUUGAUUUAAA
Molecule: long non-coding RNA, 43496 nt
Filed under: Capsicum annuum
Lineage: Eukaryota; Viridiplantae; Streptophyta; Magnoliopsida; Solanales; Solanaceae
Description: long non-coding RNA (CANN_LNC013585)
Source: RNAcentral